Molecule: ribosomal RNA, 374 nt
Filed under: uncultured organism
Description: partial 16S ribosomal RNA
Rfam family: Bacterial small subunit ribosomal RNA
Source: RNAcentral
GUAGGGCGCGAGCGUUGUCCGGAAUUAUUGGGCGUAAAGAGCUUGUAGGCGGUUUGGUUGCGUCUGCUGUGAAAGACCGGGGGCUUAACCCCGGUAUUGCAGUGGGUACGGGCAGACUAGAGUGCAGUAGGGGAGACUGGAAUUCCUGGUGUAGCGGUGAAAUGCGCAGAUAUCAGGAGGAACACCGAUGGCGAAGGCAGGUCUCUGGGCUGUAACUGACGCUGAGAAGCGAAAGCAUGGGGAGCGAACAGGAUUAGAUACCCUGGUAGUCCAUGCCGUAAACGUUGGGCACUAGGUGUGGGGGACAUUCCACGUUUUCCGCGCCGUAGCUAACGCAUUAAGUGCCCCGCCUGGGGAGUACGGCCGCAAGGCUA